CCCCCCCAAUAGGACGAAAAGUCCUGAUUGGAGGCAACGCCGCGUGAGUGGAAGAAGGAAUUUCCGCUCGUAAAAACUUCUUGUUUUCGAAGGGAAGGAACAACGUACGAAAGUAAUCUACUCGUAUCUUGCCGGUUCCCUCGUUAGAAAAGACCACGGCUAACUACGUGCCAGCAGCCCGCGGUAAUACGUAGGUGGCAAGCGUUGUCCGGAAUUAUUGGGCGUAAAGCGCGCGCAGGCGGUCCUUUAAGUCUGAUGUGAAAGCCCCCGGCUCCACCGUGGAAGGGUCAUUGGAAACUGGAGGACUUGAGUAUAAGAGAGGAAAGGGGAAUUCCACGUGUAGCGGUGAAAUGCGUAGAGAUGUGGAGGAACACCAGUGGCGAAGGCGACUUUCUGGCUUAUUACUGACGCUGAGGCGCGAAAGCGUGGGGAGCAAACAGGAUUAGAUACCCUGGUAGUCCACGCCGUAAACGAUGAGUGCUAAGUGUUAGGGGGUUUCCGCCCCCUAGUGCUGGAGUUAACGCAUUAAGCACUCCGCCUGGGGAGUACGGUCGCAAGACUGAAACUCAAAGGAAUUGACGGGGACCCGCACAAGCGGUGGAGCAUGUGGUUUAAUUUGAAGCAACGCGAAGAACCUUACCAGGUCUUGACAUCCCAAUGCCCGCUCUAGAGAUAGAGUUUUCCCUUCGGGGACAUUGGUGACAGGUGGUGCAUGGUUGUCGUCAGCUCGUGUCGUGAGAUGUUGGGUUAAGUCCCGUAACGAGCGCAACCCUUAACUUUAGUUGCCAGUAUUUAGUUAGGCACUUUAAAGUGACUGCCGGUGACAAAUCGGAGGAAGGUGGGGAUGACGUCAAAUCAUCAUGCCCCUUAUGACCUGGGCUACACACGUGCUACAAUGGACGGUACAGAGGGUUGCCAACCCGCGAGGGGGAGCUAAUCCCAUAAAACCGUUCCCAGUUCGGAUUGCAGGCUGCAACUCGCCUGCAUGAAGCCGGAAUCGCUAGUAAUCGUGGAUCAGCAUGCCACGGUGAAUACGUUCCCGGGUCYUGUACACACCSCCCGUCACACCACGAGAGUUUGUAACACCCGAAGUCGGUGGAGUAACCCUUUUGGGAGCUAGCCGCCUAAUGGUGA
This 1134-nucleotide ribosomal RNA is filed under the name Caryophanaceae bacterium. RNAcentral describes it as "bacterial SSU rRNA". Lineage: Bacteria; Bacillati; Bacillota; Bacilli; Caryophanales; Caryophanaceae. The record is from RNAcentral.